AUUGAACGCUGGCGGCAUGCCUUACACAUGUAAGUCGAACGGCAGCGGACCUUCGGGUGCCGGCGAGUGGCGAACGGGUGAGUAAUAUAUCGGAACGUACCUUUCAGUGGGGGAUAACGUAGCGAAAGUUACGCUAAUACCGCAUAUUCUGUGAGCAGGAAAGCAGGGGAUCGCAAGACCUUGCGCUGAUUGAGCGGCCGAUAUCAGAUUAGCUAGUUGGUGAGGUAAAGGCUCACCAAGGCGACGAUCUGUAGCGGGUCUGAGAGGAUGAUCCGCCACACUGGAACUGAGACACGGUCCAGACUCCUACGGGAGGCAGCAGUGGGGAAUUUUGGACAAUGGGCGCAAGCCUGAUCCAGCCAUGCCGCGUGAGUGAAGAAGGCCUCGGUUGUAAG
Molecule: ribosomal RNA, 395 nt
Filed under: uncultured bacterium
Lineage: Bacteria
Description: bacterial SSU rRNA
Rfam family: Bacterial small subunit ribosomal RNA
Source: RNAcentral